This 470-nucleotide ribosomal RNA is filed under the name uncultured bacterium. RNAcentral's name for it is "bacterial SSU rRNA". It matches the Rfam family "Bacterial small subunit ribosomal RNA", at positions 791 to 1257 of the family's 1533-position model. The record is from RNAcentral.
UAGUCCACGCCCUAAACGAUGUCAACUAGACGUUGGGCUCAUUGAAGAGCUUAGUGUCGAAGCUAACGCGUUAAGUUGACCGCCUGGGGAGUACGGCCGCAAGGCUGAAACUCAAAGGAAUUGACGGGGGCCCGCACAAGCGGUGGAGCAUGUGGUUUAAUUCGAUGCAACGCGAAGAACCUUACCAGCCCUUGACAUCCUCGGAACUUGGUAGAGAUACCUUGGUGCCUUCGGGAAUCGAGUGACAGGUGCUGCAUGGCUGUCGUCAGCUCGUGUCGUGAGAUGUUGGGUUAAGUCCCGCAACGAGCGCAACCCUCAUCCUUAGUUGCCAUCAUUUAGUUGGGCACUUUAAGGAAACUGCCGGUGAUAAGCCGGAGGAAGGUGGGGAUGACGUCAAGUCCUCAUGGGGCCCUUACAGGGCUGGGGUUACACACGUGCUACAAUGGUAUCUACAGUGAGCAGCGAUCCCG